CGCGUAGGCGGGGAUGCAAGUCAGAUGUGAAAUCCAUGGGCUCAACUCAUGAACUGCAUUUGAAACUGUGUCUCUUGAGUGCUGGAGAGGUAGAUAGAAUUCCUUGUGUAGCGGUGAAAUGCGUAGAUAUAAGGAAGAACACCAGUGGCGAAGGCGAUCUACUGGACAGUAACUGACGCUGAGGCGCGAGAGCGUGGGGAGCAAACA
Molecule: ribosomal RNA, 207 nt
Filed under: uncultured bacterium
Lineage: Bacteria
Description: partial 16S ribosomal RNA
Rfam family: Bacterial small subunit ribosomal RNA
Source: RNAcentral